GACGAACUUUGGCGGCGUGCUUAACACAUGCAAGUCGGACGGUAAGGCUCCAGCUUGCUGGGGUACACGAGUGGCGAACGGGUGAGUAACACGUGGGUGACCUGCCCUGCACUUCGGGAUAAGCCUGGGAAACUGGGUCUAAUACCGGAUAGGACCGCACCGUGAGGGUGUGGUGGAAAGUUUUUUCGGUGUGGGAUGGGCCCGCGGCCUAUCAGCUUGUUGGUGGGGUAAUGGCCUACCAAGGCGGCGACGGGUAGCCGGCCUGAGAGGGUGGACGGCCACAUUGGGACUGAGACACGGCCCAGACUCCUACGGGAGGCAGCAGUGGGGAAUAUUGCACAAUGGGCGGAAGCCUGAUGCAGCGACGCCGCGUGGGGGAUGACGGCCUUCGGGUUGUAAACUCCUUUCACCAUCGACGAAGGGUUUCUGACGGUAGAUGGAGAAGAAGCACCGGCUAACUACGUGCCAGCAGCCGCGGUAAUACGUAGGGUGCGAGCGUUGUCCGGAAUUACUGGGCGUAAAGAGCUCGUAGGUGGUUUGUCGCGUCGUCUGUGAAAUUCCGGGGCUUAACUCCGGGCGUGCAGGCGAUACGGGCAUAACUUGAGUACUGUAGGGGAGACUGGAAUUCCUGGUGUAGCGGUGAAAUGCGCAGAUAUCAGGAGGAACACCGGUGGCGAAGGCGGGUCUCUGGGCAGUAACUGACGCUGAGGAGCGAAAGCAUGGGGAGCGAACAGGAUUAGAUACCCUGGUAGUCCAUGCCGUAAACGGUGGGCGCUAGGUGUGGGUUUCCUUCCACGGGAUCCGUGCCGUAGCUAACGCAUUAAGCGCCCCGCCUGGGGAGUACGGCCGCAAGGCUAAAACUCAAAGGAAUUGACGGGGGCCCGCACAAGCGGCGGAGCAUGUGGAUUAAUUCGAUGCAACGCGAAGAACCUUACCUGGGCUUGACAUAUACAGGAUCGCGCCAGAGAUGGUGUUUCCCUUGUGGCUUGUAUACAGGUGGUGCAUGGUUGUCGUCAGCUCGUGUCGUGAGAUGUUGGGUUAAGUCCCGCAACGAGCGCAACCCUUGUCUUAUGUUGCCAGCACGUUGUGGUGGGGACUCGUAAGAAACUGCCGGGGUUAACUCGGAGGAAGGUGGGGAUGACGUCAAAUCAUCAUGCCCCUUAUGUCCAGGGCUUCACACAUGCUACAAUGGUCGGUACAGUGGGUUGCCAGUCCGUGAGGGCGAGCUAAUCCCGCAAAGCCGGUCUCAGUUCGGAUCGGGGUCUGCAACUCGACCCCGUGAAGUCGGAGUCGCUAGUAAUCGCAGAUCAGCAACGCUGCGGUGAAUACGUUCCCGGGCCU
Molecule: ribosomal RNA, 1341 nt
Filed under: uncultured bacterium
Lineage: Bacteria
Description: partial 16S ribosomal RNA
Rfam family: Bacterial small subunit ribosomal RNA
Source: RNAcentral